This 74-nucleotide ribosomal RNA is filed under the name uncultured bacterium. Its description in RNAcentral is "partial 16S ribosomal RNA". The record is from RNAcentral.
UUACAACCCUAAGGCCUUCUUCCUGCACGCGGCAUUGCUGGAUCAGGCUUUCGCCCAUUGUCCAAGAUUCCCCA